AGACCCGAAACCCGGUGAUCUAGCCAUGGGCAGGUUGAAGGUUGGGUAACACUAACUGGAGGACCGAACCGACUAAUGUUGAAAAAUUAGCGGAUGACCUGUGGCUGGGGGUGAAAGGCCAAUCAAACCGGGAGAUAGCUGGUUCUCCCCGAAAGCUAUUUAGGUAGCGCCUCGUGAAUUCAUCUCCGGGGGUAGAGCACUGUUUCGGCUAGGGGGCCAUCCCGGCUUACCAACCCGAUGCAAACUGCGAAUACCGGAGAAUGUUAUCACGGGAGACACACGGCGGGUGCUAACGUCCGUCGUGAAGAGGGAAACAACCCAGACCGCCAGCUAAGGUCCCAAAGUCAUGGUUAAGUGGGAAACGAUGUGGGAAGGCCCAGACAGCCAGGAUGUUGGCUUAGAAGCAGCCAUCAUUUAAAGAAAGCGUAAUAGCUCACUGGUCGAGUCGGCCUGCGCGGAAGAUGUAACGGGGCUAAACCAUGCACCGAAGCUGCGGCAGCGACGCUGAUGCGUUGUUGGGUAGGGGAGCGUUCUGUAAGCCUGUGAAGGUGGCCUGUGAGGGUUGCUGGAGGUAUCAGAAGUGCGAAUGCUGACAUAAGUAACGAUAAAGCGGGUGAAAAGCCCGCUCGCCGGAAGACCAAGGGUUCCUGUCCAACGUUAAUCGGGGCAGGGUGAGUCGACCCCUAAGGCGAGGCCGAAAGGCGUAGUCGAUGGGAAACGGGUUAAUAUUCCCGUACUUGGUGUUACUGCGAAGGGGGGACGGAGAAGGCUAUGUUGGCCGGGCGACGGUUGUCCCGGUUUAAGCGUGUAGGUGUGUGUUCCAGGUAAAUCCGGUUCACUUUAACACUGAGGCGUGAUGACGAGGCACUACGGUGCUGAAGCAACAAAUGCCCUGCUUCCAGGAAAAGCCUCUAAGCAUCAGGUAACAUCAAAUCGUACCCCAAACCGACACAGGUGGUCAGGUAGAGAAUACCAAGGCGCUUGAGAGAACUCGGGUGAAGGAACUAGGCAAAAUGGUGCCGUAACUUCGGGAGAAGGCACGCUGACACGUAGGUGAAGUGAUUUACUCAUGGAGCUGAAGUCAGUCGAAGAUACCAGCUGGCUGCAACUGUUUAUUAAAAACACAGCACUGUGCAAACACGAAAGUGGACGUAUACGGUGUGACGCCUGCCCGGUGCCGGAAGGUUAAUUGAUGGGGUCAGCGCAAGCGAAGCUCCUGAUCGAAGCCCCGGUAAACGGCGGCCGUAACUAUAACGGUCCUAAGGUAGCGAAAUUCCUUGUCGGGUAAGUUCCGACCUGCACGAAUGGCGUAAUGAUGGCCAGGCUGUCUCCACCCGAGACUCAGUGAAAUUGAACUCGCUGUGAAGAUGCAGUGUACCCGCGGCAAGACGGAAAGACCCCGUGAACCUUUACUAUAGCUUGACACUGAACAUUGAGCCUUGAUGUGUAGGAUAGGUGGGAGGCUUUGAAGUGUGGACGCCAGUCUGCAUGGAGCCGGCCUUGAAAUACCACCCUUUAAUGUUUGAUGUUCUAACGUGGACCCGUGAUCCGGGUUGCGGACAGUGUCUGGUGGGUAGUUUGACUGGGGCGGUCUCCUCCUAAAGAGUAACGGAGGAGCACGAAGGUUGGCUAAUCCUGGUCGGACAUCAGGAGGUUAGUGCAAUGGCAUAAGCCAGCUUGACUGCGAGCGUGACGGCGCGAGCAGGUGCGAAAGCAGGUCAUAGUGAUCCGGUGGUUCUGAAUGGAAGGGCCAUCGCUCAACGGAUAAAAGGUACUCCGGGGAUAACAGGCUGAUACCGCCCAAGAGUUCAUAUCGACGGCGGUGUUUGGCACCUCGAUGUCGGCUCAUCACAUCCUGGGGCUGAAGUAGGUCCCAAGGGUAUGGCUGUUCGCCAUUUAAAGUGGUACGCGAGCUGGGUUUAGAACGUCGUGAGACAGUUCGGUCCCUAUCUGCCGUGGGCGCUGGAGAACUGAGGGGGGCUGCUCCUAGUACGAGAGGACCGGAGUGGACGCAUCACUGGUGUUCGGGUUGUCAUGCCAAUGGCACUGCCCGGUAGCUAAAUGCGGAAGAGAUAAGUGCUGAAAGCAUCUAAGCACGAAACUUGCCCCGAGAUGAGUUCUCCCUGAGACUUAGAGUCUCCUGAAGGAACGUUGAAGACG
Molecule: ribosomal RNA, 2160 nt
Filed under: Salmonella enterica
Lineage: Bacteria; Pseudomonadati; Pseudomonadota; Gammaproteobacteria; Enterobacterales; Enterobacteriaceae
Description: partial 23S ribosomal RNA
Rfam family: Bacterial large subunit ribosomal RNA
Source: RNAcentral